This is a long non-coding RNA of Dama dama (fallow deer), 981 nucleotides long. RefSeq lists it as uncharacterized. Lineage: Eukaryota; Metazoa; Chordata; Mammalia; Artiodactyla; Cervidae. The record is from RefSeq and is a predicted model, not a curated record. The transcript is spliced from 3 exons.
UCCAGGAACAGGGGGCAGCGUGAGGGGUGCAGCCUGACCUUGGCUGCCUGUGACUGCGGCCCUGAAGCCCCAGUCAACCCUGCUGUCAGCCCUGGAGGCCGUUUAACACGCGAGAACGGGCGGUGAGGGCGGCGUUCUACCACCACGGGCUCUCCGCGCGGAGGCAGGGUGCUCCCCAGGACGCCACGGACGGACCACUCCCCGCCACGGGGCCAGCACUGCCCCUGCCGCACGUCACGGGGCUCCUCGGGGAGCGUGGGUUACAGACGAGGAACGAGAGGCUGCACGGCUCCCCAAGGGGACCCCUUCGCCCAGGAAGUGCAGGGCUGGGGUCACCACCUAGUGUGGCCACAGCAUCCCCCGUCCGGGGGCCUUGGGGAUCCUUGCAGCUGAGGUUCCUCUGCAGGACUCAGGAGGACCUGCACCCUCGGGAAGCCCUAGAUAGGCCUCCUGGGGAGCUCGUUGGCCAGCGACCCUGAGUCAGGCAGCUCGGGCCGGGCUCGGUCAGCCUGACCAGCGCCAAGCCAAGACGUGGGAGCCACCUAAACGUCCACUGACAGGAGCGGAGAGAUAAGAUCCUUAAACCCAAAGGAACACCACUUAGUCGUAAAAAAGAAGGAGACCAGGCCAUUUGCAGCAGCGUGGAUGGAGCAAGAGAUGAUCCCACCAAGUGAGGUGGCUUUCCUUCUGGUCCUCGUACUGACCGCGGGGCCCUGGAGAGCAGAGCGGCAGGAGCUUCCGUGGACACACCCAAGGGAGAAGUGUGUGUCCAGAGACAGGACCCUUCAGAAGGAAGGUCCCUGGAGUGAGAGGCACGUGCCAGGCUGGCGGCUUUUGGACAAGGCCAGGACCUCACUGAACCCUCUUCCGAUUCCCGUUCUUCCAAAGUCUUUCGAGUUCUGACUGGAUCCUCAAGGGGAACGUCUGUAGAUCAUCUGGUGCUCUGUCCAGUUUUCCCACUCUCUAACACACAUCACAGAC